This 497-nucleotide ribosomal RNA is filed under the name uncultured bacterium. RNAcentral describes it as "partial 16S ribosomal RNA". It matches the Rfam family "Bacterial small subunit ribosomal RNA", at positions 28 to 507 of the family's 1533-position model. The record is from RNAcentral.
GAUGAACGCUGGCGGCGUGCCUAAUACAUGCAAGUCGAGCGAACAGACGAGGAGUUUGCUCCUCUGACGUUAGCGGCGGACGGGUGAGUAACACGUGGAUAACCUACCUAUAAGACUGGGAUAACUUCGGGAAACCGGAGCUAAUACCGGAUAAUAUAUUGAACCGCAUGGUUCAAUAGUGAAAGACGGUUUUGCUGUCACUUAUAGAUGGAUCCGCGCCGCAUUAGCUAGUCGGUAAGGUAACGGCUUACCAAGGCAACGAUGCGUAGCCGACCUGAGAGGGUGAUCGGCCACACUGGAACUGAGACACGGUCCAGACUCCUACGGGAGGCAGCAGUAGGGAAUCUUCCGCAAUGGGCGAAAGCCUGACGGAGCAACGCCGCGUGAGUGAUGAAGGUCUUCGGAUCGUAAAACUCUGUUAUUAGGGAAGAACAAAUGUGUAAGUAACUAUGCACGUCUUGACGGUACCUAAUCAGAAAGCCACGGCUAACUACGUG